RNAcentral lists this ribosomal RNA (497 nucleotides) under uncultured bacterium. RNAcentral describes it as "partial 16S ribosomal RNA". It matches the Rfam family "Bacterial small subunit ribosomal RNA", at positions 28 to 507 of the family's 1533-position model. The record is from RNAcentral.
GAUGAACGCUGGCGGCGUGCCUAAUACAUGCAAGUCGAGCGAACGGACGAGAAGCUUGCUUCUCUGAUGUUAGCGGCGGACGGGUGAGUAACACGUGGAUAACCUACCUAUAAGACUGGGAUCACUUCGGGAAACCGGAGCUAAUACCGGAUGAUAUUUUGAACCGCAUGGUUCAAAAGUGAAAGACGGUCUUGCUGUCACUUAUAGAUGGAUCCGCGCUGCAUUAGCUAGUUGGUAAGGUAACGGCUUACCAAGGCAACGAUGCAUAGCCGACCUGAGAGGGUGAUCGGCCACACUGGAACUGAGACACGGUCCAGACUCCUACGGGAGGCAGCAGUGGGGAAUCUUCGGCAAUGGGCGAAAGCCUGACGGAGCAACGCCGCGUGAGUGAUGAAGGUCUUCGGAUCGUAAAACUCUGUUAUUAGGGAAGAACAUAUGUGUAAGUAACUGUGCACGUCUUGACGGUACCUAAUCAGAAAGCAACGGCUAACUACGUG